AUAUGAAUAAGUUAACAAAAAAAAAUAUGAAUAUGUGAAUUUAACUUCUUUUUCGGAAUUCUUUUAAAUGGGUUUUUUGAUGGGCUUCAAUGUGAUGGGCUGGAAAAGAUGUUCCAUAUCCAGCAACCAGCCCUUCAAUGAUUAGUCUGAGAGGAGAAGAGGACUGCAUGCCGUUUUCCUCUAGGGUCGUAGCGUCCUUAAGACGCUUGUCUCGAUUUAGUGACCCAAACCAAGCAACAAUCAACAUCUCGUCCCCUUCGCUGCCCCCGUUCGCCGCAGCGUUCCCGCACGAUGGUUCAACUUCACCGGCGAAUUUCCCUGCGAUAAAAAUGUGGCAAUCGGUUGUUCUCUCUGGCGGAUCGAUGAAGAUUCCAGUGACAGAGUAAAUCGAUGUAUCCUCUUACCAUUUACCCAGAUUUUCUGAAUCGUCUGAGCCGGGACAGAGGAGUUUGCGAUGCAACUAUAGUUUCUUCUACUUCAGAUUUGGAGAAGCUACAUAACAAUGGUGGUAGUUCUCACUCGCUCGAUGACAAACAGCGAAAAUGCGAAAUGAAGAUGAUUCCACUUGUGGGACAUUACAUAUGCAAUACACCACCACCAGGUCUACCGCCAUUACUACUUCUACUACUACAAGCAUUUCUUAUUUCCUGAUGAUGAUGAAUGAUC
Tarenaya hassleriana is the source of this 666-nucleotide long non-coding RNA. RefSeq lists it as uncharacterized. Lineage: Eukaryota; Viridiplantae; Streptophyta; Magnoliopsida; Brassicales; Cleomaceae. The record is from RefSeq and is a predicted model, not a curated record. The transcript has 2 exons.